Molecule: non-coding RNA, 249 nt
Organism: Struthio camelus australis
Lineage: Eukaryota; Metazoa; Chordata; Aves; Struthioniformes; Struthionidae
Source: RefSeq, a predicted model, not a curated record
CCAUGUCAGAGUAAUAAAGUAAGAACUCCGAGGGGGCAGAUCCUGGGACUUCUUGCAUCCUCCUUGGCCUCGGCGAAGUCACCUCUUUCCGAACAGGGACACUGAGAUCAGCUCUAAGUGAACGCAUACAGUCUGAGUCCAUCCAAAGCAAGAUAUGAGAAAGGUGAGGCAUCCCUAGCAGAAGGCCAACCAGGUUCUGUGACUCGAUAUAUAUGUUAAUGACCAUCAGGCUGAAAAAACCCUGGGCAU